AUAUAGAAUGUUACAAUGAUUUUUAGAAUGCAUGGCUGCAAUUGUAAAUCACAUUUUCCUGUUUUAAGAAUUUAAUGAAAUUUGAGAUUGAUUUUUUAUAAUUUUAUGAUUUCGAUAGUCGUUGUGUCUUAGGAAUUAAAGAUUGGAUUUUGUCGAUCGAUCGAAACUUUUUCAACAAAUUAAAAUUUUUAUUUUAAAAUUUAAAAAAAAAUUAUUUUAUACAUUUGAAAA
This is a long non-coding RNA of Dermatophagoides pteronyssinus (European house dust mite), 231 nucleotides long. RefSeq lists it as uncharacterized. Lineage: Eukaryota; Metazoa; Arthropoda; Arachnida; Sarcoptiformes; Pyroglyphidae. The record is from RefSeq and is a predicted model, not a curated record.